ACAGUGGACGCGAGCAUCUUUGUAGUCAAGUUAUUAAGAGCAAACGGUGGAUGUCUUGGCACCAGGAGCCGAUGAAGGACGUAGAAGACUGCGAUAAGCCUCGGGGAGUUGUCAAUCGAGCUGUGAUCCGAGGAUUUCCGAAUGGGGAAACCCAGCACCAGUCAUGUGGUGUUACCCGCGCCUGAAUAUAUAGGGCGUGUGGGGGGAACGCGGGGAAGUGAAACAUCUCAGUACCCGCAGGAAGAGAAAACAACCGUGAUUCCGUGAGUAGUGGCGAGCGAAAGCGGAUGAGGCUAAACCGUCUUUGUGUGAUACCCGGCAGGGGUUGCAUUGACGGGGUCGUGGGACGUCUUGUCCAGGUCUGCCGGCCUGGAGCGAAGUCAAAAAUGCUUGGGUUAGGGGAACCUGUCUGGAAAGCAGGACCGUAGUGGGUGAGAGUCCCGUACCUGAAAACCGAAGCACUUCGUUGGGAAUGUUCCCAAGUAGCAGCGUACUCGUGAAAUUCGCUGUGAAUCUGGCGGGACCACCCGCUAAGCCUAAAUACUCCCUGGUGACCGAUAGCGGACUAGUACCGUGAGGGAAAGAUGAAAAGUACCCCGGGAGGGGAGUGAAAGAGUACCUGAAACCGUUUGCUUACAAUCCGUCAGAGGCUUUAGGGCUGAUGGCGUGCCUUUUGAAGAAUGAGCCUGCGAGUUAGUGGCAUGUCGCGAGGUUAACCCGUGUGGGGAAGCCGUAGCGAAAGCGAGUCUGAAUAGGGCGACGCAGUGGCAUGUUCUAGACCCGAAGCGGUGUGAUCUACCCAUGGCCAGGGUGAAGCGACGGUAAGACGUCGUGGAGGCCCGAACCCACUUAGGUUGAAAACUGAGGGGAUGAGCUGUGGGUAGGGGUGAAAGGCCAAUCAAACACCGUGAUAGCUGGUUCUCCCCGAAAUGCAUUUAGGUGCAGCGUCGCAUGUUUCUUGCCGGAGGUAGAGCACUGGAUGGUCUAGGGGCCCCACAAGGUUACCGAAAUCAACCAAACUCCGAAUGCCGGUAAGUGAGAGUGCGGCAGUGAGACUGCGGGGGAUAAGCUUCGUAGUCGAGAGGGAAACAGCCCAGAUCGCCAGCUAAGGCCCCUAAGUGUGUGCUAAGUGGGAAAGGAUGUGGGGUCGCUUAGACAACCAGGAGGUUGGCUUAGAAGCAGCCACCCUUUAAAGAGUGCGUAAUAGCUCACUGGUCAAGUGGUUCUGCGCCGACAAUGUAGCGGGGCUUAAGCACACCGCCGAAGCUGUGGCAUUCCGUCAUGAGAUUCCCUUCGGGGCAGUCGACGGGAUGGGUAGGGGAGCGUCGUGCAGCGAGCGAAGCGGCGGAGUGAUCCAGCCGUGGACGCUGCACGAGUGAGAAUGCAGGCAUGAGUAGCGAAUGACGAGUGAGAAACUCGUCCGCCGAAUGACCAAGGGUUCCUGGGCCAGGUUAAUCCGCCCAGGGUAAGUCGGGACCUAAGGCGAGGCCGACAGGCGUAGUCGAUGGACAACGGGUUGAUAUUCCCGUACCCGUGAAAGUUCGUCCCUGGUGAGGCCGGUGAUACUAACCGCCCGCGAAGCCUAGUAGCCUUCGGGCAAACGGUGGAGUGCGCGGGAUCUGAGCCGGUAGUAGCCAAGCGAUGGGGUGACGCAGGAGGGUAGCUCCGCCAGGCGUUGGUUGUCCUGGUGUAAGCGUGUAGGGAGUUUGGUAGGCAAAUCCGCCAAACACAUAUCCUGAGACGUGAUGCAUAGCCGAUUGAGGCGAAGUAGGGUGAUCCCAUGCUGCCGAGAAAAGCCUCUAGCGAGAACUUUCGUGGCCCGUACCCCAAACCGACACAGGUGGUCAGGUAGAGAAUACCAAGGCGAUCGGGUGAACUGUGGUUAAGGAACUCGGCAAAAUACCUCCGUAACUUCGGGAUAAGGAGGGCCAAGGCACUUGAAGCCCCUUGCGGGCUAGGGUGAAGUGGCCGCAGAGACCAGGGGAAAGCGACUGUUUACUAAAAACACAGGUCCAUGCGAAGUCGCAAGACGAUGUAUAUGGACUGACGCCUGCCCGGUGCUGGAAGGUUAAGAGGACCGGUUAGUCCGUAAGGGCGAAGCUGAGAAUUUAAGCCCCAGUAAACGGCGGUGGUAACUAUAACCAUCCUAAGGUAGCGAAAUUCCUUGUCGGGUAAGUUCCGACCUGCACGAAUGGCGUAACGACUUUCCUACUGUCUCAACCACAGGCCCGGCGAAAUUGCAGUACGAGUAAAGAUGCUCGUUACGCGCGGCAGGACGGAAAGACCCCGGGACCUUUACUAUAGCUUGGUAUUGGUGUUCGGUUCGGCUUGUGUAGGAUAGGUGGGAGACUGUGAAGUCAUGACGCCAGUCAUGGUGGAGUCGCUGUUGAAAUACCACUCUGGUCGAAUUGGAUGUCUAACCUCGGGCCAUGAUCUGGUUCAGGGACAGUGCCUGGUGGGUAGUUUAACUGGGGCGGUUGCCUCCCAAAGAGUAACGGAGGCGCCCAAAGGUUCCCUCAGCCUGGUUGGCAAUCAGGUGUUGAGUGUAAGUGCACAAGGGAGCUUGACUGUGAGACCGACAGGUCGAGCAGGGACGAAAGUCGGGACUAGUGAUCCGGCACUGGCUUGUGGAAGCGGUGUCGCUCAACGGAUAAAAGGUACCCCGGGGAUAACAGGCUGAUCUUGCCCAAGAGUCCAUAUCGACGGCAUGGUUUGGCACCUCGAUGUCGGCUCGUCGCAUCCUGGGGCUGGAGUAGGUCCCAAGGGUUGGGCUGUUCGCCCAUUAAAGCGGUACGCGAGCUGGGUUUAGAACGUCGUGAGACAGUUCGGUCCCUAUCCGCCGCGCGCGUUGGAGACUUGAAGAAGGCUGUCCCUAGUACGAGAGGACCGGGACGGACUAACCUCUGGUGUGCCAGUUGUUCCGCCAGGAGCAUGGCUGGUUGGCUACGUUGGGAAGGGAUAACCGCUGAAAGCAUCUAAGCGGGAAGCUCGUUCUAAGAUGAGGUCUCCCACCCUCUUGAAGGGUUAAGGCCCCCAGCAGACCACUGGGUUGAUAGGCCAGAGAUGGAAGCUCGGUAACGGGUGGAGUUGACUGGUACUAAUAGGCCGAGGGCUUGAUUACAA
Molecule: ribosomal RNA, 3123 nt
Filed under: Pseudonocardiaceae bacterium YIM PH 21723
Lineage: Bacteria; Bacillati; Actinomycetota; Actinomycetes; Pseudonocardiales; Pseudonocardiaceae
Description: 23S ribosomal RNA
Rfam family: Bacterial large subunit ribosomal RNA
Source: RNAcentral